This 408-nucleotide ribosomal RNA is filed under the name Merizocera sp. 158 FL-2018. RNAcentral's name for it is "partial 16S ribosomal RNA". Lineage: Eukaryota; Metazoa; Arthropoda; Arachnida; Araneae; Ochyroceratidae. The record is from RNAcentral.
CCUGCUCAAUGCUAAAGUAAAUAGCCGCAGUCAUCUGUGCUAAGGUAGCAUAAUAAUUUGUCUUCUAAUUUAAGAAUAGAAUGAAAGGAUAAACGGACCAUUAACUUUAAAAUUAUAUAAAAAUUAAAUUACUAUAAAAGUAAAAAAGCCUUUAUAUAAAGAAAAGACGAUAAGACCCAUUCGAACUUAACCUUUAGUUCAGCUGGGGUGGCUAUAAAAUAAAAACUUAUAAAUUACCAAUAAACAACUUUUUUAAAAAAUUCCAACAAGUUACCGAAGGGAUAACAGCGCAAUAAUUUACAAAAGAUCCUAUAUAAUAAAUAAAUUGCGACCUCGAUGUUGAAUUAUUAAAACUAUUUUAAGCAAAAAUAAAAAAAGUAAGUCUGUUCGACUUUUAAUCUAAUACAU